GAACUCACUAAGGAUGCUACCAAAAGCCAGAAUGAAGAUGGACUUUCUCAUUCUCCAUUUGUGGGGGAGAGCAUCAGUUUCUAGAGCUGGCCUGGUUUCA
Long non-coding RNA from Neogale vison (American mink), 100 nucleotides. RefSeq lists it as uncharacterized. The record is from RefSeq and is a predicted model, not a curated record. The transcript is spliced from 3 exons. NCBI's taxonomy places the organism in Eukaryota, Metazoa, Chordata, Mammalia, Carnivora, Mustelidae.